GAUGUUUGCUUUCAAAAAAACAUAUCACCUCAUCAAAGUUUUCAUUUCUUUGACACUGUAAGUGACUUAUUCUUCUUACUGCGCCGUCCUACAUUUGCGGCCGACUUAACUGUUAACGCAGUUUGUCAUUUGAUGCUUGUAUAACCGCCUCCGGUGCUAAUGUCCUUUCGCUCCUGUGCCAGUAAAAUUGACGUCAAAGCUCAUAUCGGUUCCCAUACUGCACAGUUGGCACAACUCACUUAAUGCAAUAUGCCCGGCGAGGGAAAAAAGUGACAGACGACGAGCCAAAAAUAAGACACGAAACCGAGAGAUAAUUGACACGCAGCUGGCAUAAUCCAGCCCCGUUUACCGCCGCGGUCUCCGCUUCAGACAGGAAGGGAAACUCUCCAGAGCAGACUGCGUGUUCAAAGUUUUGCUCGUGAAGGAGCCGCUGGCGACGCUCUGAUGUCUCCUCACGCAUGUAAAUCAUGACACCGGAGGGUUUCCAGGGAGUCCGAAAGGCUGAUCUUGUACUGAUGGAGGCCGUGUGACAAGGCUGAGUCAGACACAAGUCGUACGGAACAACGCCCCCUCCUGUUGGUUAAAGCUUAUUACAGAGAUGAAGCUUACAUUGCAGUGACUUUCUUCUUCUCUUCCUUCCUCCAACAAAUAGUCCUCUCGAAGAAAAGGUGAUGAAACAGUGAAUCUCCUCAUUUAACCGCUCCAGGCUCACAUGGGAAUGACUCGAGUUUCACAGAGACUGAAUCAUCAUGCGCCGUACGUCCUCACACCACUCGGCCCUGGAGAAUCUCUACAUACAGCGGCCCCGGCAUGAAAUGCUGCAUGCUGCAACUUUCCCUCAGCUCAGCAUAAUCCUGCAGUGAUUAACACACACACACACACACACACACACACAGAUGCAACAAAGGCACUGUGCCGUGAGCUUACUGUCACACUGUAAAACACUUGGCUUAGUCUUCAUAGUCAGAACUAGACUAUACUCUACUAUGUUGUGCAGGCUCUUGGAUUGCACAUGGUGUGGAUCAUAUAUGUUUGCUUUUUUUUGCUAUGUUAGCCGUUUAUCAAAGCAUAUUCACAUCACAUUUAAACUACAGACUCUUAGCUUUAAGUUGAGGCCAUUCACAUCCAAAGUGGAUAGUGUGAUGUAGGAAUUACAACCAUUUUUCAUAGACAGCCUGUGUGGGCAGGUCUGCAGCUACACAAUCCCAAGCAAAACAAACUAUGAUCCACUGUGUGUUUGGACACCUUUCAUAAUUUGGUCUUUGUCAAACUCUCUCAAAUUCUACCACUUGUCCAUUUUUCCUUCUUUUAAUAUCAAUUUUGUACAAUUGUGGUUUAACAUACCCAAAGUUUUAGAAGUAUUAUUAAUUUAACUACUAUGAAAGUAAAAAUGU
This is a long non-coding RNA of Mugil cephalus (flathead mullet), 1394 nucleotides long. RefSeq lists it as uncharacterized. The record is from RefSeq and is a predicted model, not a curated record. The transcript is spliced from 4 exons. Lineage: Eukaryota; Metazoa; Chordata; Actinopteri; Mugiliformes; Mugilidae.